GCGGCCACGUUCACCAGGAAACAAAGGCAAGAGUCUCAGGUCUGAGAAAGUCAUCAGCUGCAGAUGGCUUGUGUAACACUGGCUGCCUGACAAAACAAAAUCUAUAAAUAUGUGCUGAGAGGGAACCUGUUUCCAGCGCUCUGCCUCCUUCACCAUGGCCUCUGCGUCCAUCAGCCCAAAGCCAUACAGAGCGAGAGCAAUGAUCCCCGCUGCCAUGGGAGCUGAAGCUGAUGUUCCUGUGUGACUGUCUGUGCAUCGCUGCCUCAGAUCUGUGGUGAUCUAACAAGAAACACAAAGAAAG
This is a long non-coding RNA of Triplophysa rosa, 301 nucleotides long. RefSeq lists it as uncharacterized. The record is from RefSeq and is a predicted model, not a curated record. NCBI's taxonomy places the organism in Eukaryota, Metazoa, Chordata, Actinopteri, Cypriniformes, Nemacheilidae. The transcript is spliced from 3 exons.